This 176-nucleotide ribosomal RNA is filed under the name uncultured soil bacterium. RNAcentral's name for it is "partial 16S ribosomal RNA". It matches the Rfam family "Bacterial small subunit ribosomal RNA", at positions 26 to 198 of the family's 1533-position model. The record is from RNAcentral.
AGAAUCAACGCUGGCGGCGUGCCUCAGACAUGCAAGUCGAACGCGAAAGUCCCCUUCGGGGGACAAGUAGAGUGGCGCACGGGUGAGUAACACGUAGGUAAUCUACCUUUGGAUGGGGAAUAACAACCGGAAACGGUUGCUAAUACCGCAUAAUGCAGCGGCACCUAAUGGUGACA